GGGGCUGCUGCAGCGAUAUGCCGAGACCAGGACGACCUAUAUCUGGGUUCAUCGGCAGUUGUUUUUCAAGGAAUCACGGAUCCGAUGAUGCUUGAGACUUAUGCUUGCCAAGAAGCUUUGGCAUUGGUAGAAGAUCUUGCGAUAACCAAUAUAUGUGUGGCCUCGGAUUGCCAAGAAGUGGUCAAUGACAUCAACAGAGGGACAAGAGGUCCCAACGCUGCCCUUGUACAUGAAAUAAUGCUUCGUUGUAAUAGUUUUAAUUCAUACUCGUUUAUUCAUGAGUGUAGGAACCAUAAUUUGAGGCUCACAAUCUCGCCAAGUUUGCUUGUAGCCUAG
RNAcentral lists this ribosomal RNA (336 nucleotides) under Triticum aestivum (bread wheat). Its description in RNAcentral is "partial small subunit ribosomal RNA". The record is from RNAcentral. Lineage: Eukaryota; Viridiplantae; Streptophyta; Magnoliopsida; Poales; Poaceae.